RNAcentral lists this ribosomal RNA (200 nucleotides) under uncultured bacterium. RNAcentral describes it as "partial 16S ribosomal RNA". It matches the Rfam family "Bacterial small subunit ribosomal RNA", at positions 524 to 723 of the family's 1533-position model. The record is from RNAcentral.
UACGGAGGGUGCGAACGUUAAUCGGAAUUACUGGGCGUAAAGCGCGCGUAGGCGGUUUGAUAAGUGGGAUGUGAAAGCCCCGGGCUCAACCUGGGAAUUGCACUCCAAACUGUCAGGCUAGAGUAUGGUAGAGGGAGGUAGAAUUUCCUGUGUAGCGGUGAAAUGCGUAGAUAUAGGAAGGAAUACCGGUGGCGAAGGCG